Molecule: long non-coding RNA, 915 nt
Filed under: Erythranthe guttata (spotted monkey flower)
Lineage: Eukaryota; Viridiplantae; Streptophyta; Magnoliopsida; Lamiales; Phrymaceae
Description: long non-coding RNA (EGUT_LNC003183)
Source: RNAcentral
UCAUUUCGUACAUGCAACAAGAUUUUACAUGUAUCUUAUACGAAUCAAACUGCUUCUAAAAUAGCAGAAGCAUAUUCCUGAAGACUUUAACAAAAAUAAUCUUUAGAGAACCUCUGGACUAUUGAUGGGCUCACCCAGGCCGUACACAACGCUUCUAUUUCCAGGCCAUGAAUCUUGUUUUACGACCAUUGCUUCCUUACUUUUAAGAGUUUUGCCCAUAAAAUGAUGGUGGGUGAAUUUCCAACCUACAAGAACGAACUUUCAUGUGACAUGGCAAACGGAAAAAAAAAAAAAAAAUACUCACUCCUGUAUAAUUGAUAUACAACAAACACAUUUAUUGUACAUUCAAUAGACAUGCUUAAAUACUCACAAGUUGUAAAAAUGCAGCAAUUUCAAACCAAUAUUGCAAAGUACAGUGUUCAGAACAUAAAAGAGGAACACAUAAUACAAAACUUAACAGAAGAAAUCUCAAAUAGACAUUUUAUCGAACAUCUAGAAAUAUUGCUUGGCCAAAGUGGUCAUAUAAUUCAGAAAAUGUUUAUAUUUGAAUAUGCGUAAAUCAAAACUCCAAAGAAGAUAUUCUAUAACUCACUUCAAAAGCCAUGUCAAAUUGGUCACACGAUUUCUCCGCAAUUUGGGUACACCUUAUAAACUGCAGGCUACCUUGAAUGCCCAUUGAAAACAUUUAACCAAUAUCAAAAAAGAAAAAAAAGAAAACUUGAUACUGCAAAAACGAAAAGAAAGAAAAGGGGCUUUAUGCAGAAUACAAAUGAAGAUCCGAGGAAAGGGUACCAUUAUGAGAUAUAAUUUACAAAUGGCUACAAAAUUGCCCGAAGAAUAGAUGUUGACAAAACCUAAAUCGACGGCCGGAAGAACAACGGUGAGAGAGGGAGAAUUUUUUACAGGGAUGAACGC